AUUACGUCAUGACGUUGUUGUUGGCGGUAUUUUUGUUUGGCAUCUACAAUGUUUAGUGCCAAAUUCGGGUGUAACAUUCACUUAAAAGAAAAGCUAUAGAUGCUUCAAAAUGAAAUAAUUCUGGCAGACACAGAGGCUAAUGAUGAUCAGUCAAAUGAGGCAGUGAAUCGCCUGAUUGCAAUCACAUCUGAGCUAGAGCAAUGGCAAGAAAUGGAACCAAAAUUGCUGACAACAAAUCCUGAAGUCUUACUAGCGGUUGGUAAAGAAGAGUUGCAGAGACUCAACAGUCAACUUAAAAUGGUCCUGUCAUGCUCACAAGCAAAGCUGGAUGCCCAGAAAAAGAUUUUGAAAAGGGAGCAGACAUGGCAAGCAGAGAAGAAAGAAGCAUUGAAUGCAGUGUGUGAGAAAAUCACCAGAUUACAGCGUGAAAACGAGAAAUCAGAGCACAGGAUAUGA
RNAcentral lists this long non-coding RNA (456 nucleotides) under Sinocyclocheilus anshuiensis. RNAcentral describes it as "lncRNA (ENSSANG00000050791.1)". Lineage: Eukaryota; Metazoa; Chordata; Actinopteri; Cypriniformes; Cyprinidae. The record is from RNAcentral.